This 531-nucleotide ribosomal RNA is filed under the name uncultured bacterium. RNAcentral's name for it is "bacterial SSU rRNA". It matches the Rfam family "Bacterial small subunit ribosomal RNA", at positions 772 to 1304 of the family's 1533-position model. The record is from RNAcentral.
ACUGAAUAGAUACCCUGGUAGUCCAUGCUGUAAACGAUGAGAACUAGAUGUUAGGGGGCAUGACCUCUUAGUAUCGAAGCUAACGCGAUAAGUUCUCCGCCUGGGGAGUACGGCCGCAAGGUUAAAACUCAAAGAAAUUGACGGGGGCCCGCACAAGCGGUGGAGCAUGUGGUUUAAUUCGAUGCAACGCGAAGAACCUUACCUACCUUUGAAUCCACGGAACCUAGCAGAGAUGUUGGGGUGCCUUCGGGAACCGUGAGACAGGUGCUGCAUGGCUGUCGUCAGCUCGUGUCGUGAGAUGUUGGGUUAAGUCCCGUAACGAGCGCAACCCUUGUCCUUAGUUGCCAUCAGGUUAUGCUGGGCACUUUAAGGAGACUGCCGGUGAUAAACCGGAGGAAGGUGGGGAUGACGUCAAGUCCUCAUGGCCCUUACAGGUAGGGCUACACACGUGCUACAAUGGGCAGUACAGAGGGAAGCCAACCCGGCAGGGGGAGCGAAUCUCAUAAAGCUGUUCGUAGUCCGGAUUGGAGU